AGCAGCAGCAGUGACUCUCUGGCCGACAUAGCUGUGGGUUUGGGGCUGGACUAUGUCAAACUGGGAGGUCUGAGUGGCGCUGAGAGGAUGACUAAAUACAACCGGCUCAUUUCUAUAGAAGAGGAACUGGCCCAACAAGGAAUCCUGGUCUCCAAACAGAAGCACUCCCCUCCACUGCUGCUUGAAAAACUAAAAAAGCAGCAGCAGCAGCAGCCUACAGAGCAGCAGCAGCAG
Long non-coding RNA from Solea senegalensis (Senegalese sole), 234 nucleotides. RefSeq lists it as uncharacterized. NCBI's taxonomy places the organism in Eukaryota, Metazoa, Chordata, Actinopteri, Pleuronectiformes, Soleidae. The record is from RefSeq and is a predicted model, not a curated record. The transcript has 3 exons.